GACAGAGGGGGCAAGCGUUGCUCGGAAUCACUGGGCGUAAAGGGCGCGUAGGCGGCCCGCUAAGUCGAACGUGAAAUCCCCAGGCUCAACCUGGGAACUGCGUCCGAUACUGGCAGGCUUGAAUCCGGGAGAGGGAUGUGGAAUUCCAGGUGUAGCGGUGAAAUGCGUAGAUAUCUGGAGGAACACCGGUGGCGAAGGCGGCAUCCUGGACCGGUAUUGACGCUGAGGCGCGAAAGCUAGGGGAGCAAACGGG
RNAcentral lists this ribosomal RNA (253 nucleotides) under uncultured bacterium. Its description in RNAcentral is "partial 16S ribosomal RNA". It matches the Rfam family "Bacterial small subunit ribosomal RNA", at positions 524 to 776 of the family's 1533-position model. The record is from RNAcentral.